This is a long non-coding RNA of Haliotis rubra (blacklip abalone), 170 nucleotides long. RefSeq lists it as uncharacterized. NCBI's taxonomy places the organism in Eukaryota, Metazoa, Mollusca, Gastropoda, Lepetellida, Haliotidae. The record is from RefSeq and is a predicted model, not a curated record. The transcript is spliced from 3 exons.
ACAGAUGUAUGAAGCAAUGGAUACGCUGCCAGCCUUUGGGCUGGGCCAGGGCAGCAUCUUCGGGGAAAACACAAUGGACACACAACCCGCCACAGGACACAGUCAGUUCAGUAUAUUCUCGGACAAUGACAUGGACACUCUUCCUGCAGCAGGACCUGCACAGUUUAGCA